Molecule: long non-coding RNA, 669 nt
Filed under: Homo sapiens (human)
Lineage: Eukaryota; Metazoa; Chordata; Mammalia; Primates; Hominidae
Description: HSALNT0318727
Source: RNAcentral
GAUGGCUUCCCUGCAGUGGUUUUAGAUAGUAAUGACAUCAUCAAAGGAGUCUGUGAUGAGGAGUCUGUGAAGACAGAACUCACACAGGAACUGCACUACCGUGCUCGCUCUCUGGACAACACAGACAGCAGGAAUACCAGAGUGAAGGUCUUUAAGGAAAGCCUGGCUCUAAAGGGGAAGCAGGUAACUGUGUCUCUACAUGCCUGAAGACGCCCCUGCUUGCUUCUACCCCAGGUGGCCUCCUUUCACGUCUCUGCUCUGAUCCAUACACCCUCUUGCUGCUGCUCCCCAAGAUGCUGAAUUUCCAAGCUCAUUUACCAUUGGCCAGGGAAAGAGAAGAGGAAACGGUUUCAGGCAUAGCAGGAAGGAUAGCAAAAGGCCAAUAUGUCCUCAUAUAUUCACCACCACCUCCCCGCCAUGGCAACUGCCAACUUGCUGGCAAGAAGUAGCUCAAGCAAAUUGCCUAUUAAUUGAAUGUUGCUCAAGAUGUAAAGUCCUAGGUUUCUUCAUCAAUUCUUCGAGAUGGCUUCCGUUGGAGCCUCUCAAGGGUGGUAACUGUCAGGCAGUGGAAAACCAGCAUAGGAGCAUACGCUGCCAGGAAGGAACACCUUUACUGCUAUGUAUAACGCUCCAGCAAAAUAAAGCCAUUUCUUUUCUUUUUAAAAUUAA